RNAcentral lists this ribosomal RNA (814 nucleotides) under Salmonella enterica subsp. enterica serovar Typhimurium. RNAcentral describes it as "partial 23S ribosomal RNA". It matches the Rfam family "Bacterial large subunit ribosomal RNA", at positions 711 to 1437 of the family's 2925-position model. The record is from RNAcentral. Lineage: Bacteria; Pseudomonadati; Pseudomonadota; Gammaproteobacteria; Enterobacterales; Enterobacteriaceae.
AGACCCGAAACCCGGUGAUCUAGCCAUGGGCAGGUUGAAGGUUGGGUAACACUAACUGGAGGACCGAACCGACUAAUGUUGAAAAAUUAGCGGAUGACCUGUGGCUGGGGGUGAAAGGCCAAUCAAACCGGGAGAUAGCUGGUUCUCCCCGAAAGCUAUUUAGGUAGCGCCUCGUGAAUUCAUCUCCGGGGGUAGAGCACUGUUUCGGCUAGGGGGCCAUCCCGGCUUACCAACCCGAUGCAAACUGCGAAUACCGGAGAAUGUUAUCACGGGAGACACACGGCGGGUGCUAACGUCCGUCGUGAAGAGGGAAACAACCCAGACCGCCAGCUAAGGUCCCAAAGUCAUGGUUAAGUGGGAAACGAUGUGGGAAGGCCCAGACAGCCAGGAUGUUGGCUUAGAAGCAGCCAUCAUUUAAAGAAAGCGUAAUAGCUCACUGGUCGAGUCGGCCUGCGCGGAAGAUGUAACGGGGCUAAACCAUGCACCGAAGCUGCGGCAGCGAACGUAUCACCCAAGACAACUUUACGGAGUUGACGAUUGACGGAGCGAAGCGACGUCAAAGCGUUCAUUAAAGUCGAGUUGGCUUAGGGAUACGUUCGUUGGGUAGGGGAGCGUUCUGUAAGCCUGUGAAGGUGUGUCGUGAGGCAUGCUGGAGGUAUCAGAAGUGCGAAUGCUGACAUAAGUAACGAUAAAGCGGGUGAAAAGCCCGCUCGCCGGAAGACCAAGGGUUCCUGUCCAACGUUAAUCGGGGCAGGGUGAGUCGACCCCUAAGGCGAGGCCGAAAGGCGUAGUCGAUGGGAAACGGGUUAAUAUU